Molecule: RNA transcript, 4561 nt
Organism: Syngnathus typhle (broad-nosed pipefish)
Lineage: Eukaryota; Metazoa; Chordata; Actinopteri; Syngnathiformes; Syngnathidae
Gene: pipox
Gene name: pipecolic acid oxidase
Exons: 9
Source: RefSeq, a predicted model, not a curated record
AUAAGGACUAGCUCAAUCUGAGCUAACACACUUGAGAAUGUCCCCGAUCAACUCUUGAAGACAAAUUCCCUUGGAGUUGGGCGUCGAGGCAACCUCAUGCUGGACGUUGUUUUUGCCCAACUGACAGUUCAUGAGAAAUAUAACUGAAUAUUUCACUUUUACUCCACCUACUGUCACUUUAAAGGGUGGCGCUAGCGGCGUUGAAGAAGUCAGCAAACUUCAGUGUUGCAGUUUAUUUAUCCACGAUGUCUACGUUUGAGUGUUAUGACUACAUCGUAAUCGGUGCUGGAAUCCAAGGAUCUUUUACAUCUUACCAGCUGGUGAAAAGGAAAAGGAAAACUCUUCUCCUUGAGCAGUUUACUCUACCUCACACUCGAGGGAGCUCCCAUGGCCAAACCCGUAUAAUCCGUAAGGCUUACGAGGAGGACUUCUACACACAAAUGAUGGGUGAAAGCUAUGAACUGUGGGCUGAGAUGGAGAGGGAGGCUGGUGUCAAACUGUACAGACGAACAGGACUUCUGGUGAUGGGACCAGAGAACAGUCGGCGCUACCGUGACUUUAAGAGCACCCUGGAGAAGAACAAGAUUUCUAUGGUGGUGCUUACCUCUGACAAUUUCAAUCAGCACAUUCCUAAUGUCAUCUUGGCUGAUGGGGAUGGUGCUUUAGUGGACACCACUGCUGGAGUGUUAUAUGCAGAUCGAGCACUGAAGGUUGCACAGGAGCAGUUUCAGAAGUUGGGUGGUGUAAUUAAAGACCAAGAAAAGGUAACAGACAUCAAGCCUGGCCUGACUGUGACAGUGUCGACAUCUGAGGGUGUUUAUCAAGCCAAGGGACUGGUGAUUACCGCUGGACCUUGGACUAGUAAAUUGCUGGCCAAUAUUGACCUACAUCUUCCUUUAGAGGUGGUGAGAAUCAAUGUGUGCUACUGGAAAGAGAAGAUUCCUGAGUCAUACCAUGUGAAGAAACGGUUUCCCUGCUUCAUACUGACUGAAGGAGAGGAGGCUAAAGAGGAUAUUUACGGCCUGCCUUCCAAUGAAUACCCUGACCUGAUGAAGAUUUGUUAUCAUGAUGGCAGUGAGACUGACCCGGACCAAAGGGACAAGAAGACAGAGGGAGCUGAUAUUGACAUCCUCCGGUGCUACAUUGCUCGCAGUUUUCCAGGCCUGAUCCCUGAGCCCGCUGUGAUUGAGAGCUGCUUGUACACGAAAACACCUGACCGUCAUUUUGUGUUGGACCGCCAUCCAGCAUAUGGCAAUAUUGUAAUCGGUGCAGGAUUCUCAGGUCAUGGCUUCAAAUUUGGGCCUGUCAUUGGCAAGCUGCUGUGCGAGCUAAUCCUGGGAGAAGUGCCCUCCUAUGAUCUUGCACCUUUCCAAAUCAGCCGCUUUCAGACCAACAUCAAAUCAUCAUUAUAGAAAUGUCAACAGAUUAUCAGUAUCUUGUAAUUUGAAGAUUUAUAUGUGAUAUUGAUAAUAUUGACACUUUUUAUUGAAGAGUGUCAAAUUGACGAACAAAAGCAUAAAACAAGAGCUUUGGCCUAAAUAGUAGUUUUAAUAAUUUAUUUUGCCUUAUUAUUAGGGAUGGGAAAAGCCGAAAGAAGCCACCAUAAGGUAUAAUCAAUAUAUAGAUUUUGACCUAAAAUCAAUAUAGCCUUUAUAGCUACAAAUCCUCAAAAGAUGUAGAUAAUGUAAAACUAUAUGUAAAAGCACACAUGUAAUUCAACAAUUAUUUAUAUAGCACUUUCAAGUACAGGCAUUAUUAAAUGUAUUGCUAAAUAGGAUGGGCUGUUAGAAGCAAAACAGUCAGCAAGAUCCAGACUGGUUCCGGAGCCCAAUUUGUGUUUCUAUACGUAGUUGGCAUAAUCCUGACCUUGUUUGUCACAUUUCCUGGAGCCAGAUUCUGCAGAGGAAGACCAGAGGGCCAGUGUACUCUCUUCGGCCACCCCUCUGGGUGCUGAGCCCAUGGCAAAGAGGACCCACGUCUCCAUCUCGGGUCAAGCUUCGCCUUGUACAACACAUCAUUUUCGAAACAAAACUAUUGAAGUACUUAUAUGCACAUUUUUCACAGGUAGAAUUGGAUCUAAGUAGAUUCCUUCUUAAAAAUAACAAAAGAGGUCCAACUUGGUGUCGUGGAGCCACGCCAGCAUCUCUGGUCCCAGGUCAAAGAGGCCGGCCUCCGAGGGUGGUCUAUAUAGGGGGCAGGUGUUGAUGAUGUGGUCGGCUCUCUGCUCGGGGUCAUCGCACUCGCAUGCCACACUGUCCGCCAGUCCUCACUGCUGCAUAGAUGUGUUGAAGCGCCCAACACCAAUUCUUAAAUGGUUCAGUGCGGUCCACUGCUGGCGAGGCACCGUAAUUUUCCAUGUAAAAUACGCCCCCCUGCAUAAUACGCACCCUAAAAAUGGCAUGUCCAUGCUGGAAAAAAGCCUGUACCCAUGUAUAAUACGCACCCAAAUUUUGACUCUUACUUAAGACCGUAAACGUAAUAUUAUUUCAGAAAAAAGAUCAUCUUCGGGAACAACCGGAUGUUAUUCUGCCGGUCAGUAUCACUGCGCAUGCGCUCGCAAACUCGAUAGCGAAGAAAUGUUUCGGAUUUGUGUAGGGUACAUUGUGACAGCAAACGAGCAGGUGAUUGAGCAAGCGUCUGAUACGAGAGCAUUGUGUUCGUAUGGAGCGUGUUUGAAGUGAACAGCAGAGAAGAAAGCAACAAGGCAAAGUGUUGUGAAAUAAAAUAUUACCUGUAAUACGCAUUUUAUUUGCUGAUUGAAACUGCUAUUUAACUGUGAAUUGAAACUAAUAGGUGUAGAACUGAACUCUCGCUCUUUAUAUAGCUGACGUGUCUUGCACAUCCGUUCUGCGCAUACUGUCAUGGCGGCCUCCGUAUGAUAUCCAGUCUGCGAUGGAGAUUAAACAACAAACAAUAUCUGACAAUAACACACUAUCAAGGAUUGCACCAUCGCAUCAAAUGAUGCGUCGUCAAUUAUGAAUUUUACUGACUGUGUUGGGCAGGAUGGCUGAAUGCGAUGCGCGAUUGACAACAAACAAGAAGAAAGGUGGGAUUUCAAGUUUUAUUUCAAGGGAGAUUUUCUUCAAAAAUUGUUGUACCCAUGCAUAAUGCGCACCCCAGAUUUUAGGACAAUAAAUCUGUUAAAUUUUGCGCAUUAUGCAUGGGAAAUCACGGUAGUUCAUCUCCUCCAAUGGCGUCGUCUCCUGGUUCCCAGAUGUAACGGUGCAUGAGGGAGGGACCAGCUUCCUCCCACUCCUGCUUCCAAGCUGCUGCCAGCCAAGCAUCUCUGGAGAUAUCCUUAGGGAUGGAAUUGAGCAUCUUUUGUGCUACCAUGUUGUAGGGGUGGCGCGCCUUGAGUCUGCUUGAUGGAGUUGUUGUAGUACUGUGCAGGAUGUGCUAGUUGUUUUUUGCCUUCCUGGCUAUAACGAGAGUGGCAGCCUCUCGACAAAGGUUGGCCGGCGCUAUUCCCGCAAGGACAGGCAAGAGGGACACAGGGGUGGCUUCAGGCAUCCUGUUAUAGUUCGGAGGGCGUUAAUUGCCACACCUACUUUUUUGGCAUGGGGGCUUCUGUUCCAAACUGGGGCACAGUACUCUGGUGCAGAGAAUACCAGCGCUUCAGUUGAUAUCCGCAAGGUCUUAGCAGAGGCUCCCAACAUUGUUCCAGCAAGGCGGUGGAUCAGUGCAGCCCUGGAUGUCACCUUUGCCUUCAGUUCUUAAGGUGUUGUUUGAAGGAUAGGGUCCGAUCCAGACGCACGCUAAGGUACUUCGGGGCUUGUUGAACCUCUAGGCGUUUGCCCUAAAUGCUCACUACAGGUUCUCUCCUUGUUUCUAAAGGGAAAUGUACUUUCGGCAGUUUGCAAACACAUUUGAUUAAGGCUGCGUUAGACACAUAUACGUAAUCAUAUCAAUAUCAUUUCUAGUAGUAGUGUGGUCGCUUAAUAAGUGGAAAGAAAUGUGCAGACUACAUGAAUUUGUCUUCUACAAAGUACUAAGGAACAGGAGGUCCAGACAGGGAGGACAUCUCAAGGCCGAUGGGGAACGCGAAUAACUUGUCUUUGUGGUCCAGACACCUGCGCUGAGCAGGGGAAAACCCAAACGAGGAUGAGAUGACCAUCAACCAUCGACCAAUCACCACACAAUAUUUUGCAUGCUUGAAUAUUCAUAUUGUGUUUCUUUAAAACUGGGCAACCCGGAAGAAUGUGUUGUCUUUGAUGGUCACGAAGGCACACGAGUAUUUUGGUGUUAAGGACCCGGGACCCAGGCGCCUGUAUUAGCUUGCUUUGUCAGGAUUAAACAAUUGGUAGAUUCGGCCUAAUUGAUCUCCUGGUCUUCUCUUUGACAGAACGAACUCCCAAAAUUGUUAGGUGCGACAGUGUGUGGAUUUGGACAUAACAAUUCUUGUGUUAAGUGUUGAUCGCAAUUUGGAGCCAGAUCAAUAACAAAAAUCGGUAGCCUAACACUUCCCUGGUGCUGAGAUGAUAUGACACAGCAACAGUCUUUCCAACGCUGAGCUGGAGACGCCACUUUCGAAGGUAUGCUACCAUGGUGCACACGUCUUCAU